RNAcentral lists this ribosomal RNA (256 nucleotides) under uncultured bacterium. RNAcentral describes it as "partial 16S ribosomal RNA". It matches the Rfam family "Bacterial small subunit ribosomal RNA", at positions 523 to 777 of the family's 1533-position model. The record is from RNAcentral.
GUACAUGUGGGGCAAGCGUUGUUCGGAAUUACUGGGCAUAAAGGGUGCGUAGGCGGCUUGUUAAGUCAGUGGUGAAAGUUUUCGGCCCAACCGGAAAAUUGCCGUUGAUACUGGCGAGCUUGAGUGCGUGAGGGAUAGGGGGAACGAGCAGUGUAGCGGUGAAAUGCGUAGAUAUUGCUCGGAAGGCCAGAGCCGAAGGGGCCCUAUUGGUACGUAACUGACGCUGAGGCACGAAAGCGUGGGGGAGCAAACAGGG